AUGACUUCUGGAAAAAUUCAAAAAAUCCUUGCUAAACAUUGUGCACAAGCGGUCACCAAGGCAAUCAAAGAAGAGAUGGGUGAUUCUCUUUUCUCUGUUCUUAUUGAUGAGUGCCGUGAUAUAUCGGUGAAAGAACAAAUGGCCGUGGUAAUUAGGUAUUUGAGCAAACAAGGAGAGACUAUUGAACGCUUUUUAGGUAUUAAGCAUGUUCCGGACACAACAUCUGCUUCUUUAAAGAAGGCAUUAUUGGAGGUUUUUGCUAAGCACGGUCUAGUUGUUGCACGACUACGAGGGCAAGGGUAUGAUGGGGCAUCUAAUAUGAGAGGAGAAUUCAAUGGCCUUCAGAAGUUAAUUCGAGAUGAGAACCCAUAUGCUUUCUAUAUCCAUUGCUUUGCCCACCAACUGCAGUUGGUAGUUGUUGCUGUUUCGAGAUGCUGCAAGGGUGUUGAGGAUUUUUUUGAAUAUGUGACCAUGAUUGCUAAUCUCAGUACUUCAUCUUGCAAGAGGAAGGAUAAAUUUCUUGACAAGCAAAAAGAGGUUCUUUUGGAUAAGAUUAAGAGUGGUGAGAUGCCAACGGGAAGAGGGAAAAAUCAAGAAACAUCCUUGGUCAGACCUGGAGAUACAAGAUGGGGCUCCCAUUACACAACCUUAUCUCGCAUUGAAUCAAUGUGGGAUGCAGUCAUAGAGGUUUUGGGCAUUGUUGAGGAUGAUGUGCGUGUUCCAUGUAGGGCGGGAGGUUUGGUUCAUCAAAUGGAGACUUUUAGCUUUGUGUUCAUCUUGAAGAUGAUGCUAAAAAUCCUUCGCAUGACAAAUGAUUUGUCUCUUCUAUUGCAAAAGAAGGAUCAAAAUGUUGUUCAGGCAAUGUCAUUGGUUACAGAUGUGAGAACACGUUUGAUCAACUGGAGAAAUAAUGGUUGGGAGCCACUCUUGGAAGAUGUCAAAGCCUUUUGCACCAAAAACGACAUUCCGAUACCAAAUAUGGAUGACAUCUUUACAAAGUGGGGAAAAUCAAGAAAAGGUGGACGAAACAAUGUCAUGGCUGAUCAUUUUUUCCGCGUGGACACCUUCUAUGCUGCCAUAGACUCCAUCACCAUAGAGUUUGAUCAUCGUUUUAAUGAGGUAUCUUCGGAGCUGCUCCAGAACUUCUCUUGUCUUGACCCAAGAAACUCCUUUUCUAGGUUCAAUGUGAAUAAGCUUGCUAGACUCACAGAGAUUUAUCAUGAGGAUUUCUCAGAUUACGAACGUGAACAUAUAGUUGAUAACCUAGAGCUAUUCAUUAUCCAUAUGAGAAGAAUUGAAGACUUUAGAGCUUGUCAUGAUAUUGCAAGUCUAGCUAAAAAGAUGGUUGAACUUGAAAGGCAUGUCAUGUUUCUUGCUGUUUAUCGCCUCAUUGAGUUGGCAUUGCUACUACCGGUAGCGACGGCAACAGUUGAAAGAGCCUUCUCAUCAAUGAAAAUCAUCAAGACUGAGUUGCGCAACAGGAUGUCUGAUGGCUGGCUUAAUGACUUGAUGGUGUGUUACAUUGAGUGA
RNAcentral lists this ribosomal RNA (1530 nucleotides) under Triticum aestivum (bread wheat). RNAcentral's name for it is "partial small subunit ribosomal RNA". Lineage: Eukaryota; Viridiplantae; Streptophyta; Magnoliopsida; Poales; Poaceae. The record is from RNAcentral.